CCUACGGGUGGCAGCAGUGAGGAAUAUUGGUCAAUGGGCGGGAGCCUGAACCAGCCAAGUCGCGUGAGGGAAGACGGUCCUAUGGAUUGUAAACCUCUUUAGUCGGGGAGCAAUGCCGGGCACGCGUGCCCGGCGGGAGAGUACCCGCAGACUAAGCCUCGGCUAACUCCGUGCCAGCAGCCGCGUUAAUACGGAGGAUGCGAGCGUUCUCCGGAUUUAUUGGGUUUAAGGGGUUCGCAGGCGGAUUUUUAAGUCAGCGGUAAAAUGUCGGGGAUAAACCCGGGCCGGCCGUUGAAACUGGGGAGCUUGAGUGGGCGAGAAGUAUGCGGAAUGCGUGGUGUAGCGGUGAAAUGCAUAGAGAUCACGCAGAACUCCGAUUGCGAAGGCAGCAUACCGGAGCACGACUGACGCUGAGGCACGAAAGCGUGGGGAUCGAACAGGAUUAGAUACCCGUGUAGUC
RNAcentral lists this ribosomal RNA (460 nucleotides) under uncultured bacterium. RNAcentral's name for it is "partial 16S ribosomal RNA". It matches the Rfam family "Bacterial small subunit ribosomal RNA", at positions 338 to 795 of the family's 1533-position model. The record is from RNAcentral.